GACGAACUUUGGCGGCGUGGCUAAUACAUGCAAGUUGAGCGCUGAAGGUUGGUACUUGUACCGACUGGAUGAGCAGCGAACGGGUGAGUAACGCGUGGGGAAUCUGCCUUUGAGCGGGGGACAACAUUUGGAAACGAAUGCUAAUACCGCAUAAAAACUUUAAACACAAGUAUUAAGUUUGAAAGAUGCAAUUGCAUCACUCAAAGAUGAUCCCGCGUUGUAUUAGCUAGUUGGUGAGGUAAAGGCUCACCAAGGCGAUGAUACAUAGCCGACCUGAGAGGGUGAUCGGCCACAUUGGGACUGAGACACGGCCCAAACUCCUACGGGAGGCAGCAGUAGGGAAUCUUCGGCAAUGGACGAAAGUCUGACCGAGCAACGCCGCGUGAGUGAAGAAGGUUUUCGGAUCGUAAAACUCUGUUGGUAGAGAAGAACGUUGGUGAGAGUGGAAAGCUCAUCAAGUGACGGUAACUACCCAGAAAGGGACGGCUAACUACGUGCCAGCAGCCGCGGUAAUACGUAGGUGCCGAGCGUUGUCCGGAUUAAUUGGGCGUAAAGCGAGCGCAGGUGGUUUAUUAAGUCUGGUGUAAAAGGCAGUGGCUCAUCCAUUGUAUGCAUUGGAAACUGGUAGACUUGAGUGCAGGAGAGGAGAGUGGAAUUCCAUGUGUAGCGGUGAAAUGCGUAGAUAUAUGGUGGAACACCGGUGGCGAAAGCGGCUCUCUGGCCUGUAAAUGACACUGAGGCUCGAAAGCGUGGGGAGCAAACAGGAUUAGAUACCCUGGUAGUCCACGCCGUAAACGAUGAGUGCUAGAUAUAGGGAGCUAUAAGUUCUCUGUAUCGCAGCUAACGCAAUAAGCACUCCGCCUGGGGAGUACGACCGCAAGGUUGAAACUCAAAGGAAUUGACGGGGGCCCGCACAAGCGGUGGAGCAUGUGGUUUAAUUCGAAGCAACGCGAAGAACCUUACCAGGUCUUGACAUACUCGUGCUAUUCCUAGAGAUAGGAAGUUCCUUCGGGACACUGGAUACAGGUGGUGCAUGGUUGUCGUCAGUUCGUGUCGUGAUAU
Molecule: ribosomal RNA, 1062 nt
Filed under: Lactococcus lactis
Lineage: Bacteria; Bacillati; Bacillota; Bacilli; Lactobacillales; Streptococcaceae
Description: bacterial SSU rRNA
Rfam family: Bacterial small subunit ribosomal RNA
Source: RNAcentral